Molecule: ribosomal RNA, 328 nt
Filed under: uncultured bacterium
Lineage: Bacteria
Description: bacterial SSU rRNA
Rfam family: Bacterial small subunit ribosomal RNA
Source: RNAcentral
GAUGAACGCUAGCGGCAGGCUUAAUACAUGCAAGUCGUGGGGCAGCAUGAGUAGCAAUACUUGAUGGCGACCGGCAAACGGGUGAGGAACACGUACACAACCUUCUUCAAGCGGGAAUAGCCCAGAGAAAUUUGGAUUAAUACCCCAUAAUAUAUUUGAUAAGGCAUCUUAUUAAUAUUAAAGCUUCGGCACUUGAUGAUGGGUGUGCGGCUGAUUAGAUAGUUGGCGGGUAACGGCCCACCAAGUCUACGAUCAGUAGCUGAUGUGAGAGCAUGAUCAGCCACACGGGCACUGAGACACGGGCCCGACUUCCUACGGGAGGCAGCAG